Molecule: long non-coding RNA, 42546 nt
Filed under: Homo sapiens (human)
Lineage: Eukaryota; Metazoa; Chordata; Mammalia; Primates; Hominidae
Description: non-protein coding lnc-MAP3K5-3:3
Rfam family: mir-1255 microRNA precursor family (bases 34677-34742)
Source: RNAcentral
GUGGUGGUGGUGGGUGGCCGUGGACAGAGAAACUAUUACCAUCAAGAGUUGAAAAUUGCCACCUUAAAUGGCAACAUUUCUUGAGGGAUUAAUUUUAUUUCUUUUUAGAACUCAUUAUUAUGAGGUAGAGUCCACUCUUAAAUAACUCUUAGUUUUUGGGUCUCUAUACAAAGACUGGUCUAAUUUUAGGGCACUUUAGAUGAGAAUAUCAGGUUAUUAUAAAAAUGAUACCUGUAAUGUGUUCAGAAUUAUAUGUGUGAGUGUGUGUGUGUGUAUAUGUGUAUCAAAGAUGAAUUGACAGUGGUGGCGUGUGGCCUAUGAAAUGAGACCGUUCUUAAGCAUAUUGAAAGCUAUUAUAUAAACCCAACAUUUAAAAACCCUAUUUCUGUGGGUAUAUAUUCUCAAAGUUAGUCAAAUCACAUUCUUUGUGGCGAAAACAUUUAUUUUUCUUGAGGAUGAAAAGUUCUUCCAAUAUAAUAUUUUUCUUGCCAACAGCCAAAGUUAAGAGCUGGGAAAAAAAAAAUUGCCUUGGAAACAAGUUUAAGACAUCACCACUAGAGGAUGUCAAGUCCUUUUUCAGCCUUUUUUGAGUAGUCGACCUACGAUGGGUGAUAUUCACAAAACUGCCUCUACCCAAGCUUUGUAUAUUUAAUUUUAUGUUCAUGUUCAAGAGCUGUGGAAAGCGAGUGUACAGCACUAAUUUCCUAGUCUGAUAGCCUGUUUUAAAAACCUCCUGAACUAAAAGCAAAUUUAAAGCUGCUUUUGAUUAAUUCAUGAAGCUUUCAUGCACGAAGGAAUAAGUUAAUGCCAAUAACCUGUCAAUUCUGUUGAUAUUUUGGGAAGUGGGUCAUGACUUAGAAUCUGGAAUUGGGCUUUUUGUCCAUUUUAGCAACCUGUGUGGUGAACAUGGCCUCUUUCGUGACCAUCCUUUCAUGAACUUUUCCAAAUCAAAAAGUGAUCUUGUAGGUGUCACUUAACUCUAAGGGUCCACAUUAAAUAUCUGCAAUUAAAUAAGGGCUCAGACGUCAAUUUGGUAUUAAGCUUGUCCCCUUUGAAAGAGAUGCUUCAUUCACAUAGCUAGAUAGCUUUUCUCCCAUCCUAUAUGGCUGUUACCUUUACAUCUUGCUAAGUAGGAGGAAACGUUAUUAUUAGACUAGGCAAUUGUGCUCAGGAGCAUGCAUUUAUGUAAUAUUGAUAGGCUUGUGUGAAAUAUUUUUACACAGUUUAUUUACACUGGCAUUUUCUCUAAAAAAAUUCUAACAUCUUUGCCUCCCAAUGCAUGAGAAACAAUCAUUUGGAAGAGUUAUUUUUAAAAACUCGGGCCUCGUAUUGAUGUAAGAAUUGAAAAUAUUGAGGCUUAGAAUAAGAAAUGUGUACCUUCUGUGUAUUCAGCAUUAUGGUGGUUAGAAGGCUGUUGAACAAAUGAUCCUUGAAUUUAGCAAGGAAGACAAAAUUCACCAACAAACAGUUGCAGGUUAUGAGGAGUUCAGUGAAGGAGGAAUCACUUCCGGCUGUGGUCAGCAGGAAGAACAUACUGGAUACAGCACUGAAGUUAAAUUUUAAAAAGUGGUGGAACUGGAGAUCAUUAUGUUAAGUGAAAUAAGCCAGGCACAGAAAGACAAACAUUGCAUCUUCUCACUCAUUUGUAGGAUCUAAAAAUCAAAACAAUUGAACUCAUGGACAGAGAGAGUAGAAGCAUGGUUACCAGAGGCUGAGAAGAGUAGUGGGGGUAGGGGGUGGGAGGUGGCAGGGAGGUGGGGAUGGUUAAUGGUUUGAAAAAAAAAAAGGCCAGAGGCAGUAGCUCACGCCUGUAAUCUCACCACUUUGGGAGGCUGAAGCAGGCAGAUCACAUGAGGCCAGGAGUUUGAGACUAGCCUGGGUUACGUGGUAAAACCCCAUCUCUACUAAAAAUAAAAAAAUUAGCCUGGUGUGGUGGCGCACGCUUAUAGUUCCAGCUCUUUGGGAGGCUGAGGCAGAAGAAUCACUUGAACCCAGGAGGUUGAGGUUGCAGUGAGCCAAGAUUGCACCACUGCACUCCAGCCUGGGUGACAGAGCGAGACCAUGUCUCAAAAAACAAAAAGUUAGAAAGAAUAAGAAUAGUAACAAAUACUAUUUGAUAGCACAGCAGAUUGAUUAUAGUCAAUAACUUAAUUGUACUUUUAAAAAUAUCUAAGAGUGUAAUUGGAUUGUUUGUAACACAAAGGAUAAAUGCUUGAGGGGAUGGAUACCCCAUUCUCCAUGAUGUAAUUAUUUCACAUUGCAUGCCUGUAUCAAAACAUUUCAUGUACCAUAUAAAUAUAUAUACCUACUAUUUACCCACAAAAAUAAAAAAAAAUUAAAUUUGUUUUAAUUUAAAAAAUAAAAAAAUAAACUUUUAAAAAUGGGUAAGUGGGAUAUAAAAUUAGAUGGAGGAAAGGGAGAAAAAGAUGCAGGUGUGAAAAAGAGCAAAGUUUUGGUCAUAUUGACACAUGUGUAAAGCUCAAAGAAAGUCCUAGGUCAGUUAGGAAUGAUUGUUCAUCGAAGUCAAAUUGUGGAAGGGCUGAAGGCCAAACUGAGAGGCUAGUACAUUUUUCUGGGGUAGGGUAGUGGGGGAAGUGUUGAGGAUUCUUGAGAAUAAAGGAUAUUGAUUAAAGCAGGAAUAAUCAGGUAGUUCUGUGCCCAUGAAUCUUGAAAUAUUGAUUGCAAGUUCUAACAAGAGCUCAGCUGUGCCUUUAGCUAAUGAAAGCAAAGUUCCUCCCUCUGGGAAAGUCAUUCUCUUCCAUUGAUUUUUUUUUUUUUUUCUUUUACUGCUUUGGGAAGGGUGCACCUGGAGGGAUGAGAAUGCAUGAGGAAUAUCUGCCUAGCCAGAUUAGCCAAAUCUCUGGAGAUCAAUGAAGGGCUAGGUCUACUCAGCUGGUCCUCAUUUCAAAGUAGCAACGUGGACUUGAGGAUGGACUGAAGAAGAGUUCAGCGACAUACACACCAACUUUGAGAUUCCUGCAGAAAUCCAGGCAGUCAUUAGCAUGGCAAUAGGAAGAGACGAUUAAUUUAAGGUUCUGCAGGGGCAUGUGUCAAAGGAUUGCAGGUAAAAAGGUGACAUAUGAGACUUUUCCAAGUUUGAGUUUGGCUCAUUGACUUAUUGGAAAAUAUUCAUGAGGAGGACCUGUUUUGUUCUUUACCCCAAAGAGAUGGGGGGCGGGUCUUGCUAUGUUGCCUGGGCUGGACUUGAACUCCUGGGCUCAAGUGAUCCUCCCGGCUUAGCUGUUCGAGUAGCUGGGACUACAGGCAUGCACCACUGUGUCCAGCAGAAUCAGGUUUUGGUGGGAGAAACAGGAAAAAAACCUCUCUGCUUUAGACAUGAAAAUGUGUGGUACAAGAGAGAUCUGUAAGUGGAAAUGUUCAAAAGGCAACUGGAAGUAUAGGACUAAAAGAGAAAAAUAGAGGUCAGGACUCUGGGAUUCACUCCAUAAAGGAAUAAUAGCUGAAGGUUUGGGAGUGAGGAGAGCUCAGAAAAACCACAAAGGGGUGAGACGACCUGUAAAGCAUGGGAGGAGGAAGAGCCAGCAAAGCAGACAGAUGGAAAAGCACAGCUGAGCAAUGUCACACCUGCUGAGAGGGAUGGAGAGGUAAGGGAUUCAAAGACUGAUGAAGACAUUUUAUAAAAAGCUGUUGGUUUGGUUACAAAUAGUCACUGACCAACCCCAGAAGAGGAAUUUCAGUUGUUGGUGCAAGAGUUGGGGCUACAUCAGAUUAGAAGUGAUUGUGAGAUAAGCAGUUUGGGAAGAAAGGUAGCCAAUUUAAUAGACCCUCCCAUAAAGCUUGCUGGUGAGAGGAAAAAAUUACAAAUCCUUGAAUAGGCAGAGGGAUUUUAAAAAAUCUAUUCUAAAAUUUGCGUACAGUCCAGGUGCGGUGGCUCAUGCCUGUAAUCCCAGCACUUUGGGAGACCAAGGCGGGCAGAUCGCUUGAGCUCAGGAGUUCGAGACCAGCCUGGGCAACAUGGCAAAGCCCCAUCUCUACUGAAAAUACAAAAAUUAGCCAGGUGUCGUGGCAUACAUCUGUAAUCCGAACUACACAGGAGGCUGAGGCAGGAGAAUUGUUUGAACCUGGGAGACGGAGGGUGUAGUGAGCCGAGAUGGUAGCACCACAUUCCAGCCUGGGCAACAGAGCAUGACACCUUCUCGAAAAAAAUAAUUUGUGUGCAAAAAAAAUUACGGAUUUUCUUUUAUUUUCUUUUUUUAGUUUUGUUGACUGUAUAGGUAAUGUAAGCACCACCGUUAACAUUAUCCCAAAGAGUCCUCUGCCUCCAACCUAAAUUCCCUAAUGCUGCACCUUUGUAGUGAGACUCUCUUCCUACACCUAACCCCUGGCAACCACUGAUCUGUUUACCAUCUUCCUAGUUUUGCCUUUUCCAGAAUGUCAUAAAAGUGGAAUCAUACAUUGUGUAACCUUUUUUUCUUUUUUUUUGUGAGACGGAGUUUUACUCUUGUUGCCCAGGCUGGAGUGCAAUGGCACAAUCUCAGCUCACAGGAACCUCCUCCGCCUCCUGGGUUCAAGCGAUUCUCCUGCCUCAGCCUCCCGGAUAGCUGUGAUUACAGGCAUGUGCCACCAUGCCCGGCUAAUUUUGUAUUUUUAGUAGAGAUGGGGUUUCUACUAAACCCCAUCAGGCUGAUCAUGAACUCCUGACCAAAGGUGAUCCACCCGCCUCAGUAUCCCAAAGUGCUGGGAUUACAGGCGUGAGCCGCUGCACCCAGCCCCACAUUGUGUAACCUUUUGAGUCUGAAUUUUUCACCUGGCAUCAUGUUUUUGAGAUUCAGGCACACUGUUGUGCAUGUUAGGAUGUGGUACAUCCUUUUUCUUGAUGAAGUAGUUUGCCAUUGUAUGGAAGUAUCACAGAUGGUUUAUCAAAGAACAUUUGAGUUGUUCCCGGGUUUUGGCAAUUAUGAAUAAUGCUGCUGUAAACACUUACCUACAGGUUUUUGUGUGAGCAUAGUUUUCAUCUAUUCUGGGUAAAUACCUAGGAGUGGGAUUGCUGAUUCAUGUAACUGUAUGUUUAACUUUAUAAGAAAUGGCCAAGCUUUUCCAGAGCAACUCUACGGUUUUACAUUCUUACAAACAGUGUAUGUGAGUUCUGGUUGCCCUGCAUCCUCACUAAUACUUAGUAUCGUUAGUUUUGUUUGUUUUUAAAACUUUAGCCAUUCCACCAAGUUCUUUGAGUAAAGCAAUGUAAUCACCUCAAAGUAAAAUAGUGCCUUUUUAAUGCUAACCCAUGCUCACAUGAAUUAGGAAAGCCUGGAGGUGGUGUUGAUCCCAGAGCCUAGGUAUAAUACGGAAUUUAUAUUUGACUCUAAUAUCUUUAUUCUCCUUCAUUCUUUUUUCCCCACAGUAUUUCUUUUUUUUUUUAAUUUUAACACACCAUUGCUUGCUUGAAGAGCCAUAGUAUCUCUUAUUUCCUGUGGAGUAUGCAUUCUGAAGUUGAUUAUAGACGGAAGUGCCAUUAUAUAGCACAUUCCCUGCCAAUUCAAGUUCUCUCUUCCUCCUUAAUGGUCUCUGUUCUAAUCCCUUGAGAUAUGGCUUUCUAGAACUUGGAAAUAACUUGUUUUGUUGUUAGAAAGCUAGACAUAUUGUUCAUAUACUUUGUUUAUUAUCCUGAUUAAUUCCUUAUUGGAACAUCUUAUAUUGUCAAACUGAAUACUUACCAGUUCUCAGAUACAGUGCUUUGUAAAGCCUUGAUAGUCUGUCAUUGGACGUUUCAUCAGUUGCUCAUGGUCUAAGGUUCUGUAAGCUAAAUGUGAAUGGUAUUUAGGCUUAUACUUUUUUAUAAAAUUCAGUUUUAGGGUUUGUCUCGUUCUCUAGCGGUGAUGUUGUCUACCUCUUUACUAUCUUAGCUCUUGUAAAACUCUGAGUUACGGUUGUUGACACAUUUAAAUGGCAUUUGGAUUUUCUCUUCAGUAAUUAUUAUUCUCUUUAGUAUCUUUUUAAUUUGAGAAAUAGCCUGUUGAAAAAGAUCUGUAAGAUUUUUUUAUUAGGUACCACUUUGAAAUUUUUUUUAAAUAUAUUUUUUGAGACAGAGUCUCGCUGUGUUGCCCAGGCUGGAGUGCAGUGGCACGAACUUGGCUCACGGUAACCUCUGCCUCCCAGGUUCAAAUGAUUCUUGUGCCUCAGCCUCCCGAGUAGCCGGGACUACAGGUGCCCACCACCAUGCCCAGCUAAUUUUUGGAUUUUUAGUAGAGAGGGGGUUUUGCCGUGUUGGCCAGGCUUGUCUUGAACUCCUGAGCUCAAGCGAUCUGCCCAACUCAGCCUCCUAAAGUGCUGGAAUUACAGGUGGGAGCCACCACUCCCGGCUCCACUUUGAAUUUUGAUUUGAAGAGUAAUAUAUAGUAUUUGACACUGAGAAAAACUGCAUUCAACUGUUCUUCAUCCUUGAUGCUCCUAUAGAAAUAGUUGUGAAAAAAAGAAUCAUGAGAAAGUGCCAAGGAGGAUUGACACACCUGACCAGAUGGCACAGAGGAGCACGGGGUAUAAAACAAUGCAGGGAGGAGGCUGGGAGCAGUGCACUUGGCAUAUGUGAGCUGCACUUCAUAGGCACUGUUAGUAAAUGAUAUAUCUUUAAGUUUAGAGUAUUGAGAUUUGGGGUAUCUUAAAAUUUCUAAUUCUGUGACUUUUAAAAUUAAAUGAUAUGUAAGCUUCCUUUUUGGAGUUGGCUUUCUAGUAAAGAGAACUAUCCUUCACUAUGGCAUAACCUCUGAGUAUAAAACUCAUUUCCCCAACACUGUUGAAUGUAGAAAAGUUCUCUAGGAUCAGUUUAAAUGUCAAGGUGAAGUUCUAGAAAGGAGCCCUUCCUUAGCACCUCCACCCCUCAUCAUGAAGCCUACUUGGUGGCAAUAACAUGCAUAAUAAUUGGCUGUAAGAUGUGUUCCUGUAGCAAAACUUUUGGCUGCUUCUCAAGAUUCGAAUCUGGGCUUCUGGUUCUCAGAAGCUCCUGACCCAAGCCUUUGGGGUGGCAGGCGCACCAGACAGGACCUGGUUGCUUACUUCUUGCAUUCCAGCUGGACUGGUUUCUAUUCAUGGUAGAUGCUCCAAAUUAGUUCAGUGACAACUUCACCACAGGCGUGGUGGGUUCAUUUAAAUAUGGGUCACUCCUUGACCCCAAGGUUAUGUUGUUGAAAUGAUUAUUGCGCCCAUGUGCUGGAGUAUCAUUGAUUCACAUCAUUGGCUCUCAAUCUUGGCAGUGAUUAAAAAUCACCUGGGGACCAUUUAAAUAUCAGGAUGCCCAGGUGGCAUCCAAGGUAAUUAUCUGAGAAUCUUGCAGGAUGGGAGUCAGGUGGCAGUGUUUUUAAAAUUCCCCAGAUGGUCUGGUGUGCAAUCAGUGCUGAGAACUAAUGAUUCAGAACCAUUUCCUAUUGUAUUCCCUUCCAUUUGACUAUUGUGGUGUGUGGUGUCAAGUGUGUGCACCUUGCUUAUGGAAACCACAUGGAAAAUCGUAAUAGCAAUUGCCCUAAGUCUAGUGAGUUUACUCAGGUUGUCUCUUAUUUUGCCCCAGGACUUUUUUGAAGGAAAUAUAGAUGUGAAUACAGUUAUGAGUACAAUUGAAUAGCUAAGUAUGCACACAUAUACUCAGUGUCCACAUGUACGCACAUUUCUGUAUGAAUAUGUGCAGUGAGACAAAAUACCAUUCAGCUUUUGUUUUGACUUUGCCUAGCUCCUACACUGCCUUCCUCUCCCUCCUGCCCCUUAAAACCAGGAAAGGUUAAAUUGGGGUAGAUAUUAAAGUAUUUUGUAGAAAAUUACAUACUUUUCCCAGAGAUCUUUCUAGUGACCCCUGACCUCUGAUCACCAGGUCCCUGGCUCUGGAGACUGGACCUUGUUUCUUCUGUCUAUAAAUAGUUGACCCAAGUACGACCUUUUCCCUUCCGUGUGACCAGAUGCUAAUACCCUUCAGGCUAAUCUUUCUUUCCUUCACCUCUCUUGUUUCUCCUCACCGCAUGCUGCUGUGCCCAAGGCCCAGCUGGUAACCUCUGCGGUUUUUAAUGUGCAUUUUUUUCUCAGCAGGAUUAUUCAACUUGUGCUUUGAUUAUCACCUCAAAUUGUCAUCUCUGGCUCUACACACUGAAAUGUCUACAGGCACUUCUGGUUUUGUUUUUGAGACAGGGUCUCGCUCUGUCGCCCAAGCUGGGAUGCAGUGGCACAAUCCUGACUUACUACAGCCUUGACCUCUUGGUCUCAAGCUAUUCUCCUACCUCAGCCUACCGAGUACCUGAGACUACGGGUGCAUGCCAUCAGCCUGGCUAAUUUUGUUUAUUUUUUGUAGAGAUGAGAUUUCUCUAUGUUGCCCAGGCGGGUUUCAAACUCCUGGACACAAGCAAUCCUCCUGCCUCAGCCUCUGAAAGUGCUGGAAUUAUAGGCAUGAGCCACCACACCCAGCUUACAGGCACUUCUGAGUUGCAUUCGUGCCUGCUCCUGAGGUUUUGUGGUGCCAUCUUUUGUGAUUUGAAGCUUUUUCUGGGAGGGCUUACCUUUGGCAGCAUGAUUUCCUAUCCUUUUCUCCUCUUUGCAGCUAGCAUAUGUCUAACUAUGAAGUCCAAGGCAAAAAUGAAGAGGUCAGUAGUGGAUAUUGGAUGGGACUGAUUCCUAAAUAAGAGUAUCUUUGAUUUCUCUUUAAGAUUAUAUGGAAACUGAGCAUGUGUGAGGCUGUGAGGUCUGAAGCUCAAAACUAACACUAAUUGUUUAGGGGUAAUUCUAACCUACUAUUUUGUGCAAGGUCUCUGGAGUCUGGCUGCCUGGGUUCCAAUCUCAGCUCCACCACUUGGUACCUGUGGGAUCUUGGGCAUGUCAUGUAAGCAUUCUCUUCCUCAGUGUCUUCCUUUUUAAAAUAGGGUAUUGGUAAUAUCGUCACAGGGAUUAAAUUAGUUGAUACUAAAGUUCUUAGAACAGUGCUUGACACAGCAUAGGCACCAAGUGUUUGUUAUGGUUCUUGUCAUGAUUACUGAAGAUUAGUAUUGCAUUACUGUGAAACGAUGGGCACACCCUGGCAUGCUAAGUUUCUUCCUUAAGCCGUUUUUUAUUUAUAAUAGUAAGCUCUCCAUAGUGAAGGCAUCAGAAUGUAAUGAUGAUUCAGGCCUCAUUGUAGCUGUGUGAUCACACUGUCAUAGGCUGGCACUGGGAUCAAAGGCAUCAUUAAAGCACUUGGGAUGAUGGUUUUUACCUGUCAAAUGUUCCAGGAGGUUGCUGUACACUGGCCUGUGAGACCCUUAGAUUGUGUUAUGUGAUCACGCUAAACACCCAUAAAAGCCCUUCUUGGCUUUUUUUUUUUUUUUUUUUUUUGAGACAAAAUCUUGCUCUGGUGCUCUGUCACCCAAACUAGAGUUAAGUGGCACCAUCAUGGCUCACUGCAGCUUUGACAUCUGGGCUCCAACGAUCCUCCCAUCUCAGCCCCCUGAGGUAGCUGGGACUACAGGUACACGCCACUAUUCCUAGCACCAGCUAAUUUUUUUUUUUGUCUCUUUUUGUAGAGACAGGGUGUCACCAUGUUGCUCAGGCUGGUUUCGAACUCAAGUGAUCCUCCUGCCUCGGCCUCCCAAAGUGCUGGGAUUACAGGCGUGAGCCACCGCACCUGGCCCAUAGUUUUAAAUUUUAAGUCCUUUGCUAAAAUAUUGCCACAUAGGUUAUGUUGCUUUAAGCCAUAGAGAGAUGGACCUCCUAACACCCGUUGUGACUUUAAACAAGGCACUAUCACCACAUUGAAUAUGCUUCUCUACCAGGAAAAUAGAGGAAACAUACAACUUGCCUUCCACGAGAUGUUCAUGAGAAGCAGGAGGCAGUUUGGGUUUCUUCAAGCAAAGUACAUACAUGAAAUAGAAAAUAUCAGUAAGUUAUUAAAGUCACAAAUUUUAGAAGAAACUUUCUUAAGUUGUAGAGGACCAUUUACAAGGUGUAUCCUGGGUGUGGUGUGUGGGCAUGUGGGUGAGGCACAUUUCUCACUAAGAAAAUGAUAUCUUGUUCAACUUGGAAUUUAGAAUUUUAUAUCUUUUAAAAAAUUUCAGCCAGGCAUGGUGGCUCACGCCUGUAAUCCCAGCACUUUGGGAGGCCGAGGCCGGCUGAUCACCCGAGGUCGGGAGUUCGAGACCAGCCUCACCAAUGUGGAGAAACCUCUGUUUCUACUAAAACUACAAAAUUAGCUGGGCUUGGUGGCACAUGCCUGUAAUCCCAGCUACUCGGGAUGCUGAGGCAGGAGAAUCGCUUGAAAAGAGGAAGGUGCGGUGAGCCGAGAUUGUGCCAUUGCACUCCAGCCUGGGCAACAAAAGCGAAACUCCAUCUCAAAAAAAAAAAAAAAAUUCAUAACUUCGUAAAUCUGAAAAUAUGUCAUUUCCUCAGAUGGGUCCUGGGUUUAGAUUCUCCCAGCAAUGCUCCCAAAUUGUCUUUUUGUAUACAGUAGCCACUGUGGAAAUUGAUUAAACAAGUGUUCCUGAUGCCACCUUUGAAAUAUUAAAAUGUGUUAUUCAGUAAAAAUAGAACUGAAUUAUUAUUGAAAAUAAGUUUUGUAUGGAUUUACUUAACACUAGGAAUAAACCCAUCCCAAUAUCCUGGUGAAGAUGCCCUCCCUGUGUAUAUAAAAAGAUACAUCCAUAUGCUUUGUGCAGUGACUGUAUAAGGCCCAGAUAGAGAAAAAAUACAAGAGAUGUCUCAACAGUUGAAAGUAUUGAAAUAAAUUGAGAAGAGGGAAGCUAUUUUUAGUCUAGAAGACCUAUGAGACUCGAACAACUUUGGAUAGAAAAACCCCAUAAUCUUAUAAUCCAGUGAGGCCUCACAGGGAAGAGCCCUAGGUUGGCAUUUCAGAUUCAAUCCUCGGUAUCCCAGCUGUGUCUAAAAUGGACAGAUUUGAGAAUGUCAGUUCUUCAACUUAUUUACAAACUGAUCAGGUCCAAUAUUUAUCUGCUGCUUGCUGAGAACAGCAUCAAAGUUUAAAAAAAAAAAAAAGAAAGAGAAAGUUUCCAACCAUCAAGCAAGUGUGCAACACAAAUCUAAACCAUAUAUGUGAUGAGACCCACAUGUCAUUGUGAGAGUGUUGCAGGACUCAUUAAUGACACCCACAGUAGCAAGUAAGUCUUCAAGAAACCUUUGGAAGAGAGAAGGCCUGUAUAUGAAAUGCCAGAAGGAAGGGGCAAAAGGUUCAGAACUAGGACUCUGGGUAUGGAGUUCAGACACCUGUGAAUUGGGCAUUCUGAACCACUUGUACAAUGUGCAAAGCUGAUUUUUUCUUACCAUAGCACAGGGUUGCUUUCUAUUACAGAUGUACCUAUCUGGAAACAUGUUCAUUCAACAGUUUGCAGUCCUGCAGUUAUUUUCAAAACAGUUUUUGCUUCCCUCUUUUUGUAGUAAACACGGUCUUUUUCCAGUGUGCUAGAUAAAGUCUGGCUCUGGGCAGUAAAGGGACAUGGCUGCUGCUUAUUUCAGGAACUUAGGGGCAAGUGUCUUCAUGCCUGUGGAAACAGGAGCCAGCUAGUACUAUUUCCAGCAAGAAAUUUAAGAGAAAGGAGAGAUUUUUAUUAUGAUUUUGAUUUCUUUACUACAACAUUGCAUGUGUCUGGAGUAUAGCCAUUACACUUUAUGAAAAAGGCAAAAUGGUCAUUUGGGGUGUUUUAGGAAGUUUGCCAAAAGGCUCCUUUGUCAUUAUAAUCCUUCCUAAGCUGCCAUCCACGGGUUUAGGUCAUGGAUAUGAAAAGUGAAAGGGUUUAGAGAUGAAGUAGUGUCCCCUGAGUGCUUACCAACCUGUUAAUCUUUUUGAGAUGUUAAUUUUUUCAUAUAGAGCCCCCUAAAAUCUUGAUGGCUCUAGAUCAGUCAAGCCUAAGAGAAGACGUAUUUAUGGAAAAAAACAAAAAACAAAAAAACCUUGCUGGAUUGCUAGUAAUAUCUACUUCUUGGAAAUUAAUACUUCAUAUUUUUUAAAAAAAUUAUUGAUGCAUUAGGAAUAUUUUUUGCUUAGCAGUUACAAAUUUUAAGAGGCACAUAUACACCACGGAAUACUAUGCAGCCAUAAAAAAGGAUGAGUUCAUGUCCUUUGUAGGGACAUGGAUGAAGCUGGAAACCAUCAUUCUCAACAAACUAUCGCCAGGACAAACAACCAAACACCGCAUGUUCUCACUCACAGGUGGGAACUGAACAGUGAGAACACUUGGACACGGGAAGGGGAACAUCACACACUGGGGCCUGUCGUGGGGUGGGGGGAGCGGGGAGGGAUAGCAUUAGGAGAUAUACCUAAUGUAAAUGAUGAGUUAAUGGGUGCAGCACACCAACAUGGCACAGGUAUACAUAUGUAACAAACCUGCACAUUGUGCACAUGUACACUAGAACUUAAAGUAUAAUUUAAAAAAAAAAGAAAAAAAAAGAUGACAAAUACUAAAAAAAAAAGAAAAAAAAAGCUUCUAAGCUUGGCACUCAAUCCUAAAUAUCUUAUAUCUUUAUAAUUUAGCUUAAAGGCUUUUAGUGUUCUGGUUGGUUACUGACAAUUCUCAGUGUGGCUUUCACUGAAGGAAAAUGGACCAAGCCUCAAACUUACCCACCACAAUUAUAUAAUUUGGCAUUUCUGUGAGGCACUUCCUUCCUCUAGGUUGGUUUCAGAACUAUGCUGGAGAAUUGUAUGUAAUUUUUUUUUCUUUUGUCAGAAUUGGUGUGUUAGGCCUUUUUUUGUGUCACUUAAACACCUGAGGCUAGGCAAUUUAUAAAGAAAAAAGGUUUAAUUGGCUCAGGGAUCUGCAGGCUGUACAAGCGUGGCACUGACAUCUGCUCGGCUUCUGCUGAGGGUCCCAGGAAGCCUACAAUCAUUGUGGAAGGUGAAGCGGGAGCAGGCACAUUCACAUGGCAAGAGAGUGGUGUGAGGGGAGGUCCCAGACUUUUAAACAACCAGACCUUAUGUAAACUAACUGAGGGAGAACUUACUUAUCACCACGGGGAAGGAGCUAAACUAUUCAUGGAGGUUGCACCGCCAUGAUCCAGUCACCUCCCACCAGGCCCCACCUCCAACAUUGGGGGUUACAUUUCAACAUGAGAUUUGGAGGAGACAAGCAUCCAAACUGUAUCAAUUGGUUUCAGUUAAUAAAUAAACCAAAAAAUAAAGUUUAAUGCCUCAAACCUUCAUACGCUUUUCUCAUGAAAAGCGUUUUAUCCAACCCUCUCUCCAUCCCCAUGUACGGAUCUAUGUACUUUAGUUUCUACUGAUUGAGAAAGUGGGGUUACUUCAUUAUAAUAGAGAAGGAUUUUUUGUAAUCUAUAUAUCUGUACUUUUGAAUCAUUUAAUGUUCAGAUGAACAGGCUGCUUAGUUCUCAUUAAAAGGGUUCAUUUGAUAAUGCUUUUAAGCUCACCAGUACUUGAUUCUCAAAGGGUGAUCAUUAGUGAAAAUAAAGAGGGAUUUAAUAAGUCUAAGAUAUCCUGACCCCAACUGUAGGAACAUUAUAUUAAUAGAGCAUUACAGUAUUGGAAAAUUAUCUGAGUAAAUAGAAUCCAUCCUAUUCAAUGAAGAUUAUGAUCAUUGAUACAUAAGCCUUUGACUUUUGAAUGGCAUGCUUUCGUUCGCAGCAUGUUGACUUGAAUGUGGGAAUGGAGUAUCUUAAUCUCUCUGAGGUCACUGACUGAUAGGUUAAGUGUCAGCUGGGCUCAGCCCAAACAUUAGAUGUUGCUGGGAAGGUAUUUUGUAACUAUGAUUAACAUUUACAAUCAGUUGACUUUAAGUAAAGGGGAUUAUCCUGGCUAUGGGUGGGCCAAAUCCAAUCAGGUGAAGGCCUGGGAAAGAAGAAGAAGGAGGAAGUCUGCCUUAAGACUGUGACAUGGAAAUCCUGCUUGAGUUUCGAGCCUGCCAGCCUGCUGCACAGAUUUCACACUUGUUUGUCCCCACAGUGGCAGCAGCCAUUAUUCCUUAAAAUAAGUCUUUAUAUACAAUAUAUUUCUCUCCAGAGAAACAACCAAAAAUACUAUUGGUUCUAUUUCGUGGAAGAAUCCUCACUGAUACACUCACCCUCAAGAAGAAAAUUAACAGUUUUUACCCAGAAUCAUACAAAUCGCUUUAUUUAAGAGAUAAAAUUUAAUAAUUAAUCUUUCCUGAUUUUUGAAGGUAAAAACAGGAUAUUACGCUUUCAGUAAAAAAAUGGAUGUCUUUUAAUUUCAGGGGGGUUUAGGAGAAAGAAAUGGAAAGAGUGGCAAAGUAGCAAAGGAUGGUGAUACGGUUUAGAUAUGGUUUCAUGUUGAAAUAUGACAUCCAAUGUUAGAGGCAGACCUAGUGGGAUAUGUCUGGGCCAUGGGAGCCGAUCUUAUGAAUGGCUUGGUACUCCUCUUAUGGUAAUGAGUGAGUUCUCAUUCUGUUCGUUCAUGUGAGAGCUGGUUGUUUAAAAGAGCCCGAUAUCUCUCUUGCUCCAUUGCCAUGUGACACACCUGUUUCCCUUUCUCCUUCUGUAAACGUCCUGAGCCCUCAACAGAAGCAAAUACCAGCACUGUGCUCCUUGUACAGUCUGCAGAACUCUAAGCCAAAACAAAACUUUGUAAAUUAUCCAGUCUCAGGUAUUUAUAGCAACACAAAACGGACUAACACAGAUGGGAUUGAGGAAAAGUCUUAAAACAUUCUGAAAUGAAUGUUCUUCACCUGUCCGAUGCUUUGCUGUCCUAAAGACUUAAUGCUGUCACUAUCCUUAAAAUGCCCAAAAAGUCAUACACUGAAUUGGUUUGCUGUUCUUUAGUAUCGCUCUUCAUUUAGAUUUCAUCUCUCAAGUCACAUAGCUAUAGGGAUCCACCUAUAACAAAUUGGCUCAUUGAGGGGAAAACUCUCUUAUUCAUCUUUAUCAGUAGGUUUUUUGUUGUUGUUUUAGAUGGCGUUUCACUCUUGUUGCCCAGGCUGGAGUGCAAUGGCCCAAUCUCGGCUGACUGCAACCUCUGCCUCCUGGGUUCAAGCGAUUCUCCUGCCUCAGCCUCCCGAGUAGCUGAGAUUACAGGCAUGCGCCACCAUGCCCGGCUAAUUUUGUAUUUUUAGUAGAGAUGGGGUUUCUCCAUGUUGGUCAGGCUGGUCCCGAACUCCCGACCUCAGGUGAUCCACCCGCCUUGGCCUCCCAAAGUGCUGGGAUUACAGGCAUGUAUAUCAGUAGGUUUUCAUUACAUUGUGGGUGAGAGAAUGUGGGAAGUCUGGAAGCCGCAGGUGCGGAGAUCAGAGUAGUGUGGCCCUCUUCUAACCCAAACACCUGGAGAAGGUUCAGUUGUUUCUGUGAUUUAGCAUUUAAGGCUAAAACCUCGGGACCAUCAGUUGAAUAAGUAAAAUAAUGAAACGCAGAGUUGCUUACAAAAUGAAGCCAUGCGAGUAAGUAUGUGCACAGGUACAGCAAAGGAGAGGGCUUUAUCUCAGCCUUGCUUUUUCCCUCUGCCUGAGUGUUCUCUCUUGGUUAUAUAACUCGACUUUCCAUUUGCAUCAAGUCAUGGAAUCUCAGGAUCAGAAGAAGCUCUAGAGAUUAAAAAAAAAAAAAAUUCAACCUGUAAACAGUGCAUUAAUCCAACAUCAUCAUUCCAAAUCAGUGUUUGUGCACAGCUAUCUUCAAUGUCAAGAAACAUAACUUUUUACAUUCUGAUAACUUAACAGUCCCUGGUCCCAGUUUUCUCUUCCAGAACUAAAUUUACACUUCCACUAAAAGUGUAAAUUCUUCCAUAUGUUAACCUUUAAUUCUGUUAUUUUAUUCCUCUGGAGUCUUGUCUUAUUUUCUUCUAUGUUAUGUCUCCUAUGUUAUGGCCUAGAAUAUUUAUGGUAAGUCCUAGGUCACUCUCUUCUGAAAGUGUUCUCAUUUAUCAUCCUAUUUCAAAUAUCUUGCGAGUACCAUGUAGUAUGAGGACCAGUAAACAGAGAACGCUUGUCCUCCUAUUAGGCACGCUGGUGUCUGCCGAUUCCACUGUGACACUUAGGGUUUUUACUUCCUCAGUGCGCUGAUGAUGUUUAGUGAGCUUGUUGUCCAAGUGCUCGCUUUGUUUCUGGGGCAGCUUGGGUAGGUCUUCAUUUUGUACCUGUCCAGUUGAACUUUUUUUACAUAUAAAAAGAUAUGUUCCUGUUUAUUCUUACUGAAUGGAUAAGAAUAUAGCCUAUUCAGUGGGAAUAAACUGAAUAGGCUGUAUCCUGUCUAAGUAUAGCUCAUUAUUUCAUUCUUUGAGAUCAUUUUGGACCUGAGUCUAUCCAUCUCUUAGCUUUCUUUUUUCUAUGGAUAUAGAGCACUUGUUCUCAUAUUAAUCUUUAAUAAAAACAUAACUACCUUUCUUUGCAUUGCCCACUUCUCCAUCUUUCAUCUGGACUAUUGCAGGAGCUUGGUAUUCACGUUCAAGCCUAUGGAUAAGUUUUUCACACUGCUAGAGGGGUGUCUGUUAAAAAAACACAAACAUGAUUGAUUCUCAUAUUCCUGUUUUUACGUCUAUCCCUAUGACCACCAUUUGAUCCCUUUUCUUUACUUGGACGAAGUAGUUACAUAGCUAGUCUCUGUCCCGUCUCUCUCUUUCUCACUUCAAGUUCAUCCUGGCCUGUCUGGAUCACACAUUUAGCUAUCAAUACCCUUCAGUGGCUCCCCACUGCCUCUGUUUGGUGAAAACAUUAUGCCUUUGGCUCUGUAUCCUCUCUGAUGGCAUGCCCCAAAGCACCCCAUCUGUCAUCUUUAACAUGAUUUUACUACUCCUAAAGCAAAGCAAGUCAAGGAACCAUAGUUUCAUUUUCUUUCUAAUGGUGUGGCUCAACAAUAAAACUAAAUUAAACACUAAAUUAAACUGCUCACAGACCCUCAGUGAAUUAGGUAACUUACAGAAACACAGUCCGGGCAUCUGUAUGAAUCUUCUGUUGAACCCAGCGAUUGAUUUCUUUCCCUCAUUUGGAAUCUAUAAAAUUGGAUUUCUUAGCCUAAUUAUCGUGAGAAGAGAGGACAGUCUUUGCACAUUUAACUUUUAUCAAGUAAUUCAGAAGUUCAUGUAGUGCACAUUAAUAAAGUAUUAUCAAUGAGAGUAAUGAACAAGAGGGCUGAGAGGCAUUCCAUUAUGUGCUACUGGGUUAAGGUUUAAUGUGGCAUUUCACACCUAACAUUUAGGAAAGGGUUUUAAAGCUUAGUAUCCACACCUUACAUUUGUAUAAAUGAAUCCCUAGCGUUUGAAAUUUGUUUAUGAUAGAGCAGACAUGGGAAAAUGGACUCUGUAGGCACCAUGAAGUGUUUUGCAGUGAAGAUUUAUAGAAAUGUUGUAAAAGGCACCACAGGGACCUGGUACUUCUGGCUGAUGGCAUCACCGCUACUAGGGCAGUAUUUACUGUUUUUCUUAUAUGCCUGUUAACAAAAAGUGGUCAAAUAAAGAAGAUCAAAGCAAAUCUGCCUCUUCCUUUCAAAGGGAUGAUAUUUCUUUGUGCAGUAUUUCUUUAUCCAGCCUCUUCUAUGCUAUGCAUGAUGCUGCAAGAUGGCAGAAUGUUGUGCCUUUAUCGUCACAAAAGCCAUCAGUAAGUGGCAUAAUUCUAGGAAACUCUGAGGCUGCCCUUUAACUUCAAGAAUAGAGUGGCAAAGAACCAGCUGGGACCCUUUGUUCCUUAGUGGUUGUUUGAUUCCAUGUCAACCUGUGCUGGCUUUGUCAUUUUCAAAAUCAUGCAAAGUUUUUAAGUUGCAUAAAAAUAUUGUUAAAACUCCUGCUAGAAGUAAAUUUCAGUUUAUCUUGGGGAGAUGCAUUAAAUACUUAAAAGAUUGCUGAAGUCCGGUAGUUUUGAAGAAUUAACCAUCUCUUCGAAUGUUGAAACGUGGAAAAGAAUUUUGGCACUUCUGGACCCUGAUGAAAAGUAAAUAACUUAUACAUACGUGGAACUUGUAAUUUACUGGUGACAGGCCAUUCAAUCCAGCAGUAAUAAUUUCUGUUUUCAGCUACAGCCAUUGAAUAGUACAAAUUAGGCUCUUUUUUCUUUCAAUAAUGUUUUUGUAAAGCUCACUGGGCUUUUAGAAAGGGAAAUUUUAGGUAUGUUUCUCACUGGUUAAGCAGAUUUCUUGGAUUCAUUCAUGGAGUGUGCUGUUUUCCAACUUUAUGGUCACACAAGUCUAGGAAGCAUAAAUGUGAACAGAAAGCUGACUCUAUGUGUGCGUAUGUGUAUGCAGGUGACUACAUGUUAGUCUUUUAUAUAGCAUUGUGACAGCUAGGCCCAAGUCAUGAGCUUACUUCCCCAAAGAUCAGCAAGUUUGACUCUGUUUCAUAUUCAUCCAACUCACAGGUUGGACAUAGGCCAGAGAUGCCAACCAGCCAGGGUAGGAGGACAAAGAGACAUAAAUUUAUUGUGGACCAAGCGGGUGGGGCCUGCAGUUGCUCGGGGGCCUAUUGGACUGUUUUAAUCAUAGUAGCUGAGUGGUAAUGUUUUUACCCAUAAAUGUGAAUACAUUUUGAAAUUAUACUGCAGAAUAUUUUUACGCAAUAUAAAGCCAAUCUAGUUGUAAAAUCUACCAUUUUGCACUAGGCAGUGCCUCAUUUCUCUCAAAUUUGUACAAAGCCUCUAUUAAUACAACAUUUAUCACUUUAACAAUUUAAAGAAAGUAAUUGCAAAACCUUACUGAUUGUUGGAGGGCUGCAUGCCCAUUUCCCAUGGGGACUGAUUUAAGCCUCUGUAUCUGCAUGUGACAUGCAAGGAUAGUUGUGCCACAUCUAAUUGAAAAUGCUCCUUAGUGCUGGAGAAGAGUUCAGGAGGCUGGGCGCGGUGGCUUAUAACCUUUAAUCCCAGCACUUUGAGAAGCCAAGGUGGGUGGAUCACUUGAGGUCAGGAGUCAAAGACCAGCCUGGCCAACAUAGUGAAACCCCAUCUCUACUAAAAAUGCAAAAAAAAAAUUAGCUGGGUGUGGUGGCAGAUGCCUGUAAUCCCAGUUACUCAGGAGGCUGAGGCAGGAGAAUCACUUGAACCCGCGAGGUGGAGGUUGCAGUGAGCCAAGACUGCGACUGCACUCCAGCCUGGCGACAGCGAGACUCCAUCUCAAAGAGUUCAGGAAUUCAGAGUAGUGUUUAUUUUACUUUGGCGGAUAUUUAAAUUUAAGGUCUCACCAUAUCCCUUUCCGUAUUUGCCUUUGGUUUGGAUCAAAAUGUAAAAGGGAAUUGCGAGAAGAUGGUACCCACACCUCUACAGGGAUCAAGCCACAGUAUUCCUGGAAUUCCCCAGGAGCUAACCCCUAUAUCCAUUAAAGAUUGGGUGUGAACAUUUAAGAAACUAAUCUCAAAUGAAUUUAUGUCUUAAGUGAAAAAUGUGUCCUUUAUAAGGGAAGGAAAAAAAUCCUUUAUUGUUAUUAUUUGAUCUUGUGCUGUUUGCUUUUCUGUGACAGUGACACAGCUAGUUGAUGUUGGGGUCAGGAUUUACACGACAGCAGGAUGAGAGCAUCUUGACUCAGUGGAGAUAAUGUGUUAGUUAUUAGAGCAGCAGCUAGCUUUGUUUGGAAGCUGUAAGCUGUAUUUGGGUGACAAACAUUUCUAAAUGAAAUUAGUCAUUUGCUUAAUACAGAUUUUCAUUUUCUUUACCAAAAGGUAGUUUCAAGUAUGCUUAUUUUGUAUGUGGGGUUUUUUUUGUUAUUAUUUUGCUUUUUUGUUUUGUUAUGCUUUUGCUAUUGUAAAUACUGACCUGACUCUCUUGAAGUAGAGGAAAGAAGCUAAUGUGGAUUUGAAAAUAUUUUCAUUUCACAAAUAGUAUGAUAUUGAUGUAUAUUACACCUGUGUUUAUUGAUCAUCUGAUUAAAGAAAAAUAAUAGGAAAUAACAAAUCAUGUCUCAUUCAAGAAUAAAAGUUUACAAAUAUAGAAAAUUAUGGAAGUAUGUUACGUUUACAAUUUGUAUCCAUUUUUUUAUUUCUUAAACAAUAAGAUCUUAUAUGCGUCCUCCCUUUCCUUCCAUCUCCACAUAAAUUGGAGAUCGAUCUAGGAUUCUAAAACAUCUGGGUCAAACAUUUGUCAUCGGGAGAAGCACUGGACUAGGAGGAAGAUGGUCUAAAUUUUAAUUGUAGACUUGCUGCCAACUAACAUUUGACCUAGGCAAGGAAUUUCACUUCGUGAGAUUCAGCUUCCUCGCAUGUAAAACGAUGCUGACUCACUUGCUUUCUCAGGCCCAUUCAGCUCCAAAACUCCAUUCUAUUUUAUUCCAAAGACCCACUGCACAGAUUGACACAAUUUAAAAUAAACUCUAAAACUGAAAUUUCCUGCGUUUCUUCAUGCCAGAGAUCUAAAUACAUGUGAACUUAAUUAAAUCAAGCAGCCUGUGGAGGGAAAGAGUUCUUAAGAUUCAUUUAUUUUUUUCAGCAUGUGUUUGCUCACAAUUUAGUACAUCCCCCAGCACCAUGCUGGACAAUAAGAGUAGAUACAAAGAAGUACUUCCUGGUAGCAUUGAUAGUUGAACUGGAAAUACCUUGAAAAUAAUUACAAAGCAAAAAAUGGACUAGUUACAGCAAACUAUUAUAAAGUAUAAUAAUAGUUGGUAUUUAUUAAGCACUUCAAGUUGCUAGCACUACACGCAUUUAAUCCUCACCCUAAUACCAUAGGUAAAUGAUAGUCAUCACCCCAAUUUUACAGAGAAAACGGAGGCACUGAGAGAGUUAAGUGAAUUGUCCAAAGUUACUGUUCCACGCAAGAGAUUUAGAGAGGAUAUUGUACUUGCCUUAGACUCCCUUGGGCCCUCUUUUGGGUAAGUAGGUUUAAGUACUGAGAAAAAGUAAGGGAGUAGUUGGGGAGUGGGAGGAUUGCUUUUGACUUGCUAAGCAGACUUGAUUUUUAUUAAAACACAAAAGCAAAAAAAAUGUUUUUUCUUAAUUUGGCAGUUGGCAUGUUUUAAUGUCAUUUAUUGUAAAUUUUUUUUGGAGACAGCACACAUUUUAAGCAGUCUAGAAGUGGAGAGUCUUAAAGUGAGAUAGCUUAUUUCAGGAGAAAACAAUAGUCACAUGAUUCUGUGCUUUGAAGAAAACGAUCCAAAAAAGAGCUAAAAUUGGGUCAAGUGUUGAGCAUUGCUCAGCACCGCUGGUAGCAACUGCCCAGAGCGGUAGGGAUUGAGGGUGGGGGGUGUGCUGGGUGUAAUAGAGACAGGUUUUUCUCCUUUGGAGAAUUCCCCAGUAUAGGUUCUGUCCUUGAAACUUGAGUUGCAGAGGAGACACUCCACGUUGUGAUCUCUGGUGGGAGCCAGCAUAGUUCUUCCCUUGCCUGUCUUCACCAGAGGGUUUCAGGGACAUGGCACUGGUGGCCCUCAUGACUGGUGCUGCCAACCCUGUUCUUAUACAUGCUCUGGGGUGGUAAGAAUGUCAGGAAAGUAAAGUGAGCUGCUCUGUGGGUACCAGCCAUGCCUUCAUUCAUCCAGGGGCUUGCAAACAUUGUUAUGAUAGACAACCUGGCCCAGAAAAGAAGAAAAAGCCUUUCUUCCUCAGGCUUCUGUCUCCAUACUGAGGAGUCUACUGCUGCUUGUGCAAGCAAAACUCUUUCUCCUCCCAUCCUGCUGCGCUGCCGCUGAGAGGAAGAGGGAGCUGCCCAGCGGCCUCACGCUGUAACCCUCUGCUGGUGAGUUCCCAGAACCCAGCAUCCUGCAAGCUGCCGCUUCUCAGCUGGGGAGAUGGAGCCGCUCUGGGCCCUUCUUGAUUAGGAUAUGUUAGGGUUGUCAGGGCAACUGUUAACGGCAGCAUAUCAUAUUUUCCCCUCUCUGCUGUGGGCUGAAUAUUUUACUGUGUGGUAGCAGGAAGAAGAUUGGAAAAAGGUGCUGCAGCAGGAAGAAGCUGGGAUCUGAUUGAACAGGUUGUGCAGUGGUGGGAGGCAUCAGACCCUGCGUGUCUGUAGUAGGGCUUUUCUGGAAGGAGUGUGUGUGUGUGUGUGUGUGUGCGCGCGCGUGUACGUGCAUGCAUGAGCCGGAGCAAUCACCAGCGCAUGUGCCUGUCGGGGAGUCAGUGGGAGGGGGCUGGUAGGGGAGGUGGGGAAGCUGCUGCUAGGUGAGGGGAACUGCAGGGCCUCAGUUGCCAAGUGGCUGGUACUAUCUGUCAGCUGUUUGCAAACUGUUUACCCAUAGGGGAUCUAUUACAAGUGCUCAAAUGAACAGGCAGCUUAGGAACUAGCAGCUUCCUGGGAGCUGCAAUUACAUAAGCAUAUAUUUUUAAUAUAAUCACAAUUAAAAAAAAAAAAAACAAGUAGCAGCGGUAUGCCUGGAUCAGCUACAGCUCUCCGACAUGAGAGACUGAAGAAGACCAAUGCAAGGCCAAUUCCUCUUGGUUUAUUCACCAUUAAUGAGGAAGACGAACAGCAAAAGAAUGGAAAUUCCAGAAGACCAAAAGGUAUGCAUUAGCUCCACCCUUUGGUCGGAGCCAGAUCCAGCCCUUGUCUCCCACACUGCCUAUAGAACGUUUUAUAAACUGUGCUGCUCGUGCAUGCUCCAGGGAGUGCUUGUGACCUCCUAGCACGGUUUGCUGGUAGUGUUUAUACCCUCUGUAGGGUUGUGUAUGCAUGAAAUGGGAAACAGUUUUUGUAGAUUCGGUGUAUUUCAGAUCAGUUGCCUUUUUUGACUUAAGCUACUUUCUUGGCCUAGAGAUGUUUAAUUUUUCCCAUGCUCACUUCAGCAGUGACCAGUCACUCUGUCCUCAUCAAGAGGAGGAAAUACUGAGUUAUCAAGGUUUAAACGAACAUCUCCCCACCUUCCUUAGGUGCCUCAGAUAAUUUUUGCUUAUUUUAAUGAAGUGAGUUUCUGCUUUAAAGGAUGAGUUAAAGUGACUCAAGAGUGCAACCUUUUCUAGGCAGAGGGUCAAAAUGUCACUUCCCUUUCUAUACUAAAAUGUCAAGAGUAAAGAGGAGCACAGCAAACAUUGAGGGCGAAUGUGGAGGGUGAAGCUAGGGAGCAGGGAGGAGAUCAUGAGGUUGUAUAACUGUUGAUGAUAACUGAAUUCGUGUAUGGCAGUUGAAAUGCACAGGUUACAGAAAAGGGAAGUCUGACCCUUGUGUUGUUCUUUCACAGUAUGAAAGGUAGCAGCAGCUUACCAGCUUCUUGAGAGCCUGUGUACUGCAUCAUUGUCAGCAUUGUCUCACAGCUGCCCUCCCAGGGCUGUAAUUAUCAGCCAGAGACAGCAACAUCAGACAUUUUUGAAAAAGGAGCUUUAAGGCCUGUGUUUUACAUUUUCCAGCAUCCUAAGUCUUGCUUCCCCUUCCCCAAAAUAUAUAAGCUGUUCUUAAACAGAUGGGUUAUGAGUUUUCUUGCUUUUAUGUGCUGAUUAAUUUUUAGCUUGCUCUUAAAUUAUUCUGUCACUGAGGUAUCAAAUUUUCUUCUGUGAUGCAGAGAGGUAGCAUGACAAAGUAGAAAGCAAAUAUUUAAGCAAUGAUAAAGUGAAGAGUGUUAAAUAGAAUCCAGUGUCUGAGGACUCGUUUUCUUUUUCCUGUUUCUCGAAUUAAUCUUACUUUGCUUUUCUUAAAUAUAAUUGAAACUGUCUACAUUAAAUCCAAAAGCAUAUUACUUCAUUUUUAUGAGACAGUACACAGGGAAGUUCUAAUAAGUAGAAUCUUACUACUGUAGUUGAUUUUUAUUUACUAUCAGACCUGGCUCCUGUCUGAGAACCAAAUGACCUCAGAAAUCAAAUGAUGCUAUGACUGGAGGGUGACUUAAUGUGAUUCUUUUAUUUGCCUGUGAAUUACAUCAUUGAACCAGAGUGUGUUGCUCUGGAUGAAAACUCAGGACUUUAAAUUUUUAGCAGCAAAUCAUUUUGCCUCUGAAAAGUUGGUAACUUUUAAAAUUAAUGUAGAUUUGUUGAAUUGUUCUCAUGGGGUAUUUUUGGAAACAUUCUUGAUUUGUGGUACUUUUCCUUGGAUGUCUUGGACAGUAACUUAGGAUAGCCAUCCAUUUUAUUCUUAAUAAUUUUCUUUUCUUUUCUUUUUUUUGAGAUGGAGUCUUGCUCUGUUGCCCAGGCUGGAGUGCAGUGGCACAAUCUCAGCUCACUGCAACCUCUGCCUCCCAGGUUCAAGCAAUUCUCCUGCCUCAGCCUCCUGAGUAGCUGGGAUUACAGGCACCUGCCACCAUGCCCAGCUACUUUUUUUUUGUAUUUUUAGUAGAGACGGGGUUUCACCAUUAUUGGCCAGGCUGGUCUCAAACUCCUGACCUUGUGAUCUGCCCACCUCAGCCUCCCAAAGUGCUGGGAUUACAGACGUGAGUCACUGCGCCCUGCCCUCUUCUUAAUAAUUUUCUUGAAUACCUCUGCCUGUCUCCUGUUGUUGUUUUUGUUUAGUUGUCUUUUAGUAUUUUUUUAAAAAGGAAGAGAAAGGGGAGGAAAGAAGAUGCUUCGAAAAACCUACUUAUUUUUGGCAAUUUUUGCAGCUUCUUGGAUAAGAGAGACUUAAUCAAGGAGUUUCUGACCCCCUACCAUUUUUCUUUCUAUCCCUGCCCAUAGUGGUGGGAAGGGCAAGGGUAGGUAUUGGAGGAAUACUGGGAGAAAAAAAUCCUGUGCUGAUAAGGAUGUCCAAACUUUCUGUGGAUCACCAAUUGUCUCUAUGACACAUUCAAUAAAAUAACCAGAUAACCGUGGAUAUCUCUAAUUAUGCUCAAUGAAUAACACUAUUGACUUUGACUGAAUUUUUCAUUGGGUCCAUCUUAACAAUAGGAAUAUUCACUUUGUAGUCCAGCUUUGUUCCAUGGAAAAUGAUGGAAAUGUUCUGUAUAUGCACUGUCCAAUACAAUAGCCACAGCUGCAGAGCUUGAAAUAUAGCUAGUGCAACUGAGAAACAAAAUUUUAGUUAAAUAGCCACAUGUGACCACCUUAUUGGACAACACAGUUCUGGUCUGUAGCAUUGUUACGUUCUGAAUUUGUGUCUUCUCUGGUUCGUUCGUCCUUACUGCUUCCUGACGUUGGAUAUGGUUGGGUCCUGAAAUGAAUGUGGUUAUUAAGAGAACAUCAAGGAGCAGACAGCCUCUGUACUGCAUGAGAACACAGAAACCUGGAUGUGUAGACAAUUUCAUUUUACCUUUUCCACUUAAAUGUUGUUGCACUGUUCUGAUUAUUAUUAUUACCAGUCACUAGUUGCCUGUAUCAUUUGUUGCACCUUUUAAUGGACUCUUAAUUUUUUUUUCUCCUUUUUAUUUUUAUUUUUUCUUUAGUGACAGGGUCUUGCCCUGUUACUCAAGCUGGAGUCCAAUGGCAUGAUCAUAGCUCACUGCAGCCUCCAACUCCUGGGCUCAAGUGAUCGUCCUGCCUCAACCUCCUUAAUAGCUGGAAUUACAGGCACAUGCCACCACACCCAACUAAUUUUUUAAAAAGCUUUUUGUAGGGAUGGGAUCUUGCUAUGUUGCCCAGGUGAUCUUGAACUCCUGUCUUCAAGUGAUCCUCCCACCUUGGCCUCCCAAAGGGCUGGGAUUACAGGCGUGAGCCACUGUGCUUGACCAUCUCUUAUUUUCUAAAUUAAGUAUUCCCAAAGCAUCAUAGCAAGAUGACAUACAGUUUAUUUUUUGUGUGUGACUAUUGCGAUACACAAUCAGAAACUUUUCUUUUCCUACCCCAUGGCCUCAUCUGCCAACCAUACCCAAACCUGGUUUUCAUGCUUAGUGUCUUUUUUCUACCAGUAAUAAAGAAGUUUGCCAUCUAAAUUUGAUGAGUUGAAUGUUUCUGUUCAGGAUUAUCCUGGCUAAUGAUGAGUACCAUCUUUUCAGGUACCAUACUGUUGGGCAAACAUCAAAUAACUCAGUAAGAGAGAACAUGGAGAUUAACAUCUGGCCUUCUAUGGUGGCUUCAUAGUUAUCUGGUGGGGUGACAAUAGUUUGUUUAGAUGGCAGACUAGAUAAUUCUUGAAGGAGUGAUUACUCUUCCAUGUAAUCGGUAGGAGUGUAAUGUUUUACAUACCUGACUGUUAUUACCACAGUAAUUAAAUAAUCACUGGGAGCGAGCUGGGCUUAUGCUGAUGCUCUUAUACCUCGGAACCUCAAGCCUCCUUGUAAUGCUGACUUCAGGACUGGCUUAGGAGAGACUGUUUAGGUGCUGCAGUAACUAAAUGCCCUUGGAUAGGUCUCAAGGCAAACCUGCCUUAGACGGUGAAUUUUGCUGAGCACAGCGAUUAUUAAGUAAUAAGGCAUUUUCCUCCUAAACCAGCAUUUGUUAAAUGCUCACUCUGUGGCAGAUUACUCUGCUGGGGUUUUGUGGAAGUAAUGCAAAGAUAAUUGACAUGGUUUCUGCUCACAGAAGUGGAGGAAGAAAAAUGUGUACAAAUAAUGCAAGAGUAUAAAUUGAAGUCAGGAAAGGGAGAGGAUGAGAGUGGCAGAAAUGUUAAGUGUGUGCCAACUGUGAAGCCAUUAGCUUCAAGAUUUUAAUCUGAAACAGGGCGUUUAAGGGAUAUAGACUCCUAUCCCAUCCCAAAUGUCUGGCUGAGGUUGGAAGCUCACACAGACCUUAAAGGCGGGAGCACAGAAUAAUGGGCAAAGAGUCUUUUAAAUUUCAUUAUAGAAGCAAGACAUCCACACAAUGUUUACCUGUGGAUAGACACUUCUAGAGGCUUCAUGACUAUUACACAAUACAUUUUACAACUUCUGCUUUGUAAUGGCCUCCUGACCCAUUCUGUGAACUGCCUAAAGCAGUCAUCUGAUUGACUUUAUACUCCUGUGUUGUUUUUAUAUAAAACCUGAUUGAUGUCCAGAUCUAAUACUAAAUUUGCUCAUGAGACUUGACUCUAAAUGACUUUUACUUGAUUUUAUCAAAAUUAUCAUCUCCCUCAAAAGACGAAAGACUCAUAACUCUCUAGGUGGAUCAUGGUCUUCCUGCUUUCAGUCUUUCCUCUUUCCAACCCAUCCUCCAUAGCGUGCCACUAUGACAUCUUUCCAAUGGAAAUAUCUGCCCAUUAGAAAUAAACUUCUCAUGAAACAGAGGUCUUGACUAGGAGUCUUGGAGCCAUAUUUAGUCUGUAGCUAAGUUUAUUUGUCCCCUGCAGGUGUUUAUGAGUCAACAUUUAGGAACUGAUUUUUUCAUAAUCUAGAUUUCAGCUUCCCUUGAAAAAUUGGAAGACACAGCCACCCUUGUCCUCUUUCUUCAAAGCAGUCAUCAGCUGGAGCUAAGUAGCAGCUGUCACCAUAUGCUAUAGAUGGGUCAUGCGUGCUCCAGUGCCCCUCUUCUAGAAUAUGCAUUACAUGGCCUGCCUCAGUUAUCUACAUUACCGUAGUCAUUGCUUUUGUGACCCCUGACCUAAGGAAUAGUCCAAGCCCCUUAGCAUGGCACCUAGACUACCUACCAGCUGGUCCCUUUUGCCUUCUCCAUCCUCUUUCCUGCCACUCUUUGCACUUUGUGCUCCGGCAGCACCAAAGUGCUUGUUGCAUUUGCCUGCUCCAUCAUGUUCUUGCAUGCCUCUGUGUCCUACUCAUGCUCAUCUGUCCAUUUUCCUCAUCUUGCUUCCUCAUUUGGAUAACUCUGACUUACUCUGUAGAAUCAGAUCACAUGGCAUCUUCUCCAGACUUUCCUUGGGUGCCAUCUGCAGGAAACCUCCUCUCUCGCUCCCAGCCUCCUCAUUCCUGGCACAAAGGGCAGCCCCUCACUGUGCUCCUUCCGCACUGUAAAUCCAUUACUGACUUACAUCAGUGUAAUGAAAUCAUCCAUGCACACACCCAUGUCCUUCUUGACACUGUAAGCUUUGUAAGGGCCAGGACUCACUCCUCUUUAUACCCUGUACUUUUCAGAGUAAAUGGAACAUUAUGAAACAAAGGUAAACUUAACACUUAAAAUAACUUUCACAGACUCUGAAGGUCUUCAUAAUAUAGAAAUUCUAAGAAAUGUUGAUAGCAUUAGAAUUGUCCUUUCAAGGUAACUACUUGGAAAGAGACAAUUCUGUGUUUGAUACAUUAAUCAUAUUGCUCUCUAUGAAACUGCAUUUGUCUAUUAGUAUACCAGAGAUUAUCUCUUUGUUGUUGUCUUCUUCUCCUCCUCCUGCUCCUCCCCCCUUUUUUUUUUUUUUUUUGAGGCAAACUCUUGCUCUGUUUUCCAGGCUGAAGUGCAGUGGUAUGAUCAUGGCUCACUGCAACUUUGAACUCCUGGGCUCAAGUGAUCCUCCUCAGCCUUCCAAGUAGCUUGCAACUAGAGGUGCAUACCACCACACUUGGCUGUUUUUUUUCUUUUAAUUUUGUAGAGGUGGGGUCUCACUUUGUUGCUUAGGCUGGUCUCCAACUCCUGGGCUCAAGUGAUCCCCACACCUUGAUCUCCCAAAGUGCUGGGAUUGCAGGAGUGAGCCACUGCACCCAGCCCUGUUUUGUUGUUUUCUGUCAUGCUAUUCAUUUUUCUUUGGUGGAAAAACAAAGGUAUAUAGUUACAAGGUGCUAUUAAUUGACCACUUUGUGAAUAUUAAGGUUAAUAAUGCUUUCUGUCCCUUUUGUUAGCUAAUCAUAGAUUAAAUUGUAAAGAAAUACAACUUCUCCUUGAGAUCGGGACACAGUGGUUCUGAGAAACUGUACUCCCCCGCCCCCACUUUGUUAAAAUGUGUAUUUCUGGAGCCUGCAGUGACUUCUCUUCUUUUGGCUUUUCCACUGUAAAGGUAGAAUUUCCUCCAGUUAAGGUUUCCAAACGAAAUAUAAUCUAGUGUUUACCAUUUAUAUUCCUAUCAGAUAAGUGAUGAUCUAGCAACUGUAAUGUCCUUUUCUAAGUCAUGAAUCUUUUUGUUUUCCAAGAGAAGUCUUAGAAUAAGAAAUAUGAAUGCCUCUAUAGAAUCAUUCUCAUAUAUCUCCUUGUUUCUUUUUCUCUUUUGUUCUGUAAGGCUUGCACCAUUGUCUUUUCCCAGUGUCCUUAUGUGUGGCAUUUUAGGGCUAGGCAAAAGGUUUUAGCCGUAAAAUUUAACAGCUAGGGAGGCAAAAAUGUAUUUUAGAACAGUGGUAUCAAAGAUCCUUAUUUUGAGGAGGAAAUCUUGAGGUCAAAUUCAUUGGCAUAAACUUUUAUUUGCUGAAGAGAUCUUAAAUGUAAUAUUUUAUUCAAAAUAUUUAUAUAAAAAUAAUAGGGGAUGGAGCAAGGAUCACAUCAUCUAAUGUAUGUCUUGUACUCAUUGGAUUCUCUGUAACUAUUUGAAUAAAUGAAUACAGCUGUUCCCCAGGCAUUAUGUGUUAUAUAAGUAGAAAUUACCACAUGCGUUACUGUGUACAAGAGGAACAUGAUUUAACCUGUGUAUAACCAAAGUUUUUGUAUAGUGAGGUACAAUAUAAAGUGUAAUUUGCUUGCUAUAUAAAACUAAAAGGCUGAAAAAUUGUGUGCCUGUUUCCAGAGCUAUAAUUGAUGGAGCUAAAAGAGCUGACUCCUCCAAUCAUAGGAACCAAACACAAUUAAGUGUUUACUUAGAGCCUCCCAGCUGAUAACUCUUAGAUAUUAUUUAUUAAAAGAUUAUAGUCUGGGUUUGAAUUGAAUGUCCAUUUCCAUUAACAUCUGUGUGUCUCCAAGAGCAACUUUAAUUCGUUGUUACAGAAAUUCUCCAGGUGGCUCCAGGCACCUUGACUAUGUUUUUCAUUUAGCAGAAACUUAAGAGCAAUGAAGGUGAUUUUACUGAGAGACUCCAUCUUAAUUCUCAGAUCAUCUAGACAUUUAGGAAAAGCCCACUUUAUGUUGCACCUUCCAUAUGUUAUAUUAAGUUUAUGUUCUAGAUUUGCCAAUUUGAGAAGAUAAGUCAUACCCCAUUAUACCCCAGACCCAGAUGCCGAGGCCCAAAGUGUGUCACAGAUGGACAUAAGGCAUUGUUUGAAUGUUUACCAGAGCAUUAUUUGACAUUUAUGCCAACUGUAAAAUGCAGGUCCUGUUUUUCAGGCUAUCUGCCCAGCAAUGGUUUGUUAGUAAGGAAAUUCUCAUAUAAUCUUUCUAGAUUCCAAAGAAUUUACAAUCCCAGGUCCAGUGUGGAGUGGGAAUGAAGUUCAGGAGUAUAGACCCAGAAAAAUUAUCCUAACAGUUUUGAUCUUGAAUAUAUAUGGUUUGGGGGACUAGAUUCAUUCUAAAUUAAAGUUGCAGGCCUAAUAAAGUAGUAAAAAGAUAUUAAAAUACGAAGAUUCAGCAGAACCUGUCAUUCUAAAACCAUUAUUGGAACAACAGUAUGGAGGCUCGAGCCACCUCCAUACUCCUAAUAGGAUUGCUUUCAAGGUCACCAGCUGAGUGCAUGACCAAGAGGUGUCUUGGAGUUGGGCAGGAGGGAAGAGAGUUGGAAUCUCUAUUAGCCCCUUUUAAAAACUUCCCAAAUAAUGUAGCUUAAGAUCUAAGUAAAAAUGCAACUUUAAGAGAAGUUACCCCCUUACAAACCAGUUGUCGCCUCUGAGCCCCGAUUUAGAACUAUAGAAAUUCAGAACCAGCCCUUAUCAGGGAUAUCAGUUUACAUAGUGGGAAAACAGGAUACUAGGAAAGUUUCACCACGUUCACUAGUAGUCAGUGGUACAGGUCAGAGUUUGCCACAGUUAUUAGAAAUCCAGGCUAUAUUUGGUGUGAGAAACUGUGAAAAAAGUGCUUAGAAAAAAGUGAUAGAAAAAGUGCUACAUAUGGAAAUAUGCACAUUACUGUUAUUAAUAUUUAAACUUUCUAAGCCUCAGAUUCCCAUCUGUGAAAUGAAAUGAAUAAAAUCAUGCUCACAGGUGCUGGCGGGUAUUAGAGAGAAUACACAAGCACUUAGCUUAUUCUCUGGAAAAUAAUUGGAGCUGAUUAUGUGACAAUUAUAAUAUUGGUAAUUUAUAACCAAAUGUCUCACAUUUUCUGAUAACUUCUACUGACAUGUUCUGUUGGGAGAAUGGCCUGGUGGAAAGACCAUCAUGCUUGUCUGUGCCAAACCUUAGCCAGUCUCUUUUUAUAGAGAUAUUUUCCCUAAUCUCUUUCCUUAACUUGUGAGUAAAAAUUUCUAGGAAGGCUGCCUUCUUUCUUGUGUUGUUUUAGUCACUUUCCUACCAUAGGCAUAUGUGACUGGAUCUUUGUUCUGUGUUUGUUCAUGUGAAUCAGAAGUCCUAGCUGCCAGGUAGAUUGCUCAUGCAGUACCCUGUAAUUUUGUUGUGUUAGAUGAAGGAAAUAAAUUGCCAUAAUGUCAGAUCACCUCACUUGUUAUUUUAAAUAUGAUUAAGGGAGUGUACCUGUUAUUCCUUGGGAUUAAUGGAAAACUCUGAUCUGCCUUAAUCAGGGAACAGUAGCAGUGAUCAUCUGCCAUUUUAAAAGCCAAUUCAAAAGGAUUUUUUUUUUUUUGCAAGGGUUUUUUUUUCCUUCUGAUGUGGGGUGUGCAUGUGCGCUCGUGUGCAUGUAUGUGAGUUGCUUGAUGGCAAUGUCCUAUGCUAAUGGACAGGUUUCUGCCAGUGGUUGAGAUUAUGGAUGCUUACACUGGGGAUGCCAAAUGUAUCCAGGCUUAUUUUUGCAGGCUUAUUUUCACAUACUUAUUUUCAGCACCAAGACUUCUUAUUCUAAGUUUGGUUAGCCAUCUUUUCUUUCAAUACUUCUUGUUUCUCUGUGCUAGUCUUGAUUUGUUCUCUAGUCACUCAGAAGUAAGUGCUGUGAACACUUACGAUGGAGAAAGCACCAAAUUAAAUGUUAUUUGCGGCUAUAAUUGAACAUAUAUAUGCCAGCGGAUCUGUGUCCUGGUGAAGUAGAUACUGUCUCGCUUGGAGCUCUUCCCUCUACCUGGUAUGUACUUCUGCUGCUUCUCCUCUCUCCACUUCACUCUCCCUGGUCAACACCUACUUGUCCUUCAGUUUAAAUGUCAUUUCCUUGGCCAGGCAUGGUGGCUUAUGCCUGUAAUCCCAGUGCUUUGGGAGGCCAAGGUGGGAGGAUCAUUUGAGCCCAGGAGUUCAAGAACAGCCCUGGCAACAGAGACCCCGUCUCUACAAAAAAUACAAAAAUUAACCAGGUGUGGUGGUGUGCACCUGUGGUCUCAGCUACUCCGGAGGCUGAGGUGGGAGAAUCCCCUGAGCCCAAGGAGGUCGAGGCUGCAGUGAGCCAUGAUCGUAGCACUAUACUCUAGCCUAGGCAGCAGAGUGAGACCUUGUCUCAAAAAAAAAAAAAAUUGUCAUUUCCCUAAGGAUGUCCCCAGACCAAGCUAGUCUCAGAUUCUAGGCCCUUUCUUACUCCAGGCAAAUUGUGUAUUAAGUGUUUGCUGAGUCGUUUAUUGUCUGUCUCCUCAACUAGACGAAGCUUGCAGAAAGCAAUGAAUAUGUCUGUCAGAUUCACACUGUGCCCCCAGCAACUAAUACAGAGUCUAGUAUGCACGUACUUUCUUUUAUUGUGCUUCAUGGAUACUGCAUUUUUUUUACAAAUUGAAGGUUUGUGGCAACCCUAUAUCAAGGAAGUCUGUUGGCGCCAUUUUUCCAAUAGCAUGUGCCUACUUCUCAUCUCUGCAUCACAUAUUGGUAAUUCUUGCAAUAUUUCAAACUUUUUCAUUGUUAUUCUAUCUGUUAUGGUAAUCUGUGAUGGGUGAUCUUUGAUGUCACUAUUGUAAUUGUUUUGGGAUGCUACAAACCAUGCCCACAUAAGAUAGCAAACUUAACAAAUAUUGUGUGUGUUCUGACUACUCCACCAACCCAGCCAUUUCUGUCUCUCUCCCUCUCCUCAGGCCUCCCUAUUCUUUGAGACAUGACAAUUUUGAAAUGAAGUUAACUAAUAACCUUACAAUGGCCCCUAAUCUAAGUGCUCAAGUGAAGAAUUACAUGCCUCUCACUUUAAAUCAAAAGCUAGAAAUGAUUAAGCCUAGUGAGGGAAGGCAUGUUGAAAGCCUAGAUAGGCUGAGAGCUAGGCCUCUUGCGCCAAACAGCCAAGAUGUGAAUGCAGAGGAAAAGUUCUUAAAGGAAGCAAAAAGUGCUACCAUGGUAAACACAAAUGAUAAGAAAGCGAAACAGCCUGAAUGCUGAUACAAAGAAGAUUUGAGUGGUCUGGAUAGAAGAUCAAACCAGCCACACGUUCUCUUAAGCCAAAGCUUAAUCCAGAACAAGGACCCUAACUCUCUUCAAUUUUAUGAAGGCUGAGAGGUGAGGGAACUGCAGAAAAAAAGUUUGAAACUAGCAGAGGAUGGUCAUGAGGUUUAAGGAAAGAAAGUGUCUCCAUAACAUAAAAGCACAAGGUGAAGCAGCAAAUGCUGAUGGGGAAGCUGCAGCAAGUUAUCCAGAUCUUGCUAAGGUAAUGAUGAAGGUGAGUUCACUAAACAACAGAGUUUCAAUGGAGAUGAAACAGCCUUCUGUUGGAAGAAGAUGCCAUCUAGGACGUUGAUAGACAGAGAGUCAAAGUCAGUGCCUGGCUUCGAAGAACAGGCUGAAUCUCUUGUUAGGGGAUAAUGCAGCUGAGUCAUUGCAAUCAUUGACUUGGAGUUGAAGCCAAUGCUCAUUUGCCAUUCUGAAAAUUCUAAGGCCCUUAAGAAUUAUGCUAAAUCUACUCUGUGUGCACUCUGUCAGUGGAACAACAAAGCCUGGAUGACAGCACGUCUGUUUAUAGCAUGGUGUACUGACUAUUUUAAGCCCGCUAUUGAGACCCACUGCUCAGAAAAAAAGUUUUCUUUCAAAAUAUUACUGCUCAUUGACAAUGUACCAGGUCACCCUGAUGGAGAUGGACAAAAGAGGUUAAUGUUGUUUUCUUUUUUUUUUUUUUUUUUUUUUUUUUUGAGACAGAGUCUUGCUCUGUCACCCAGGCUGGAGUGCUGUGAUCUCAGCUCACUGUAACCUCUGCCUCCUGGGUUCAAGCUAUUCUCCUGCCUCAGCCUCCCAAGAAGCUGGGAUUACAGGUGUACACCACCACACCUGGCUAACUUUUUGUAUUUUUAGUGGAGACAGGGUUUCGCCAUGUUGGCCAGGCUGGUCUCAAACUCCUGACCUCAGGUGAUCUGCUUGCCUUGGCCUCCCAACGUGCUGGGAUUACAGGCAUGAGCCACUGCACCCGGCCACAAGGAGGUUAAUGUUGUUUUCAUGCCUGCCAUCACAACAUCCAUUUUUCAGUCCAUGGAUCAAGGAAUAAUUUUGACUUUCAAGUCUUAUCACUUAAGAAAUAUAUUUUGUAAGGUUAUGGCUGCCAUAGGUAGUGAUUCCUCUGAUGGAUCUGGGCAAAGAAAAUUGAAAACCUUCUGGAAAGGAUUCACCAUUGCAGAUGCCAUUAAGAACAUUUAUGAUGCAUGGAGGGAGGUUGGUGUGCCAAACCCCUAUUGACUCCAGCGGGGAUGGCACCAGGUUCAAGAGGCUGAAGAAGAGACCUAGAGCCAGCGAAUGAGACAUGGGUUUUACUGGGGACUUACGUACAGGUGAGAGAGUCCAGUGGUGGCAGACUGGGCAAAACCACCACCACCACUUGCAAAACACAUGCAAUUUAUAUAACAUUUUCACUUAACACCCUCCCCCUAGCAACUUCCACCUGGCAAACCUCAUUUAACCCAAAACAAUGGGCCGUGAUCCCCUGUAUGGCCCAUGUUCCACAGGAUGCGUCUGGGGCUCAGGUGUUCCUCAUAGACAAGGAAUGGAUCUCUGGGUUGGCCACUUCUGAGUACACAUUGAGGUGCUCUGCCAUACGGGGUCAUUCUCAGGGUAUACUCAGGUCGCAUUAUCACUGUCAGGUGCAUCUACCAUACAAAACUCAAAAUAUCAACAUUAACAGGUGUUUGUAAGCAGUUGACCCCAACCUUCAUGAAUGACUUUGAGGGGUUUAAGACUUCAGUAGAGGAAGUAACUGCAGAUGUGGUGGAAAUGGCAAGAGAACUAGAAUUAGAAGUAGAGCCUGAAGAUGUGACUGAAUUGCUGCGAUUCCAUGAUAAAACUUGAACAGAUUAGUUUCUUCUUAUGGAUGAACAAAGUAAGUGGUUUCUUGAGAUGGAAUCUACUUACGGUGAAGACGCUGUGAACAUUGUUGAAAUGGCAACAAAGGAUUUAGAAUAUUACAUAAGCUUAGUUGAUAAAGCAGCAGCAGGGUUUGAGAGGAUAGAGUCCAUUUUUGAAAAAAGUCCUGUGGAUGAAAUGCUAUCACACAACAUCGCAUACAACAGAGAAGUCUUUCAUGAAAGGAAGAGUUCAUGGACUUGGCAAAUUUCAUUGCUAUCUUACUUUAAGAAAUUGUAGCUGGGUGCAGUGGCUCAUGCCUAUAAUCCCAGUGCUUUGAGAGGCAGAGGCAGGAGGAUCAUUUGAACCCAGGAGUUUGAGACCAGACCGGGCAACAGAGUGAGAACCUGCCUCUACCAAAAACAAAACAAAACAAAACAAAACCUAGCUUGGUGUGGUAUCACAAGCCUAUAGUCCUAGCAACUUGAGAGGCUGAUGCAGAAGGAUUGCUUGAGCCUGAGAGGUCAAGACUGCAGUGACCUGUGGUUGUGCUACUGCACUGCAGCCUGGGCAACAGAGUGAGACCCUUUCAAAAAAAAAAAAAAAGGGAAGAAAUUGCCGCAGCACCCCAGCCUUCAGUGACUACUAUCCUUAUCAGUCAGCAGCCAUCAACAUGGAAGCAAGACCCUCCACCACCAAAAAGAUUACAACUCACUAAAGGCUCCAAUGAUUCUUCGCAUUUUUUAGCAAUCAAGUAGUUUUUAAUGAAGUUAUGUACACUGUUUUGGGACAUAAUGUUGCACACUUAAUAGACUACAGCGUAACGAAAACACAACUUUUGUAUGCACUGUGAAACCAAAAAAUGUGUGUGACUUGCUUUAUUGCAAUAUUUGCUUUAUUGGGGUGGUCUGGAACUGAACUGGCAGUAUUCUGAGGUAUGCCUUGUUGAGGCUUCCUAAAUCUUCAUUACAUCAACAGGUGUCACACCCUAGAUAAAAAGUUGAGAAGAAUACAUCCAACAAUUUUUUACAUCCGUAAUAGUCUUAGAAACUUUGGUAUUUACUUUUUCCACUGAAACAGUUCUCUUUUUCUGUUGAGCUGUUCUGUAGAACUUGAAGGAAAUUAUUUCUAGGUGCUGAUUCAAGACCUCUUAGUCCAUGGGUGCUAAGCCAGAUGGCAGAAGCCCAAAUCUGGUUCCUCAUAAGAUAACUGAUUGGAGGCAACACACUCUGGCCCUGCCAGCCAGAGAAUGAGACAGCAUAGCUGGAGAGGUAGUCUGUCUAGGCCUUUAAACAUUCCAGGGUUCAGGACUUUGUUUUGAAUCUAGCAAAGGCCUGGAGAUAUCAGAUCAAUCACCACCCUGCCUAGUGAUAAUGACGGUGAAUUUUGUAUUAACGACCUUUGUCCACUAGCCUUUAUGCAGGGAUGACUUGUUUGUUUUCGGCUAGGACAUUGGCUUGGACAGUCUGCAGUGGCUUACUUGGAUCAAAUUCUAGAGCUAGACCAUUCCAGAAGCACCUUCUACCAUCAUUUUUCCUUGAACUGCCAGAGCUUAUUAUAAAACGUUCAUUUCGUGUUUGUGGCAUAUCCUCAUUACAGCCGUGUUUGAAUUAUUAUAAGUAUUUUCUUUCCUUUUGCACAGUUGAAAUUCAGUUAUCAUGACCAUAUUAAGUGUAAGCCAGGGAGAACUUGCAUACACAAAUCCUUAGUGAUUUAAACUCCCACUGAGCUCUUGACUAAUAGUGUCCCUCACUCCCACCUGCUGCUCUGUGGAUUAGGAAAUAUCGUGGAAAGUGAACUGGAGCUGCUGCUAAUUUAACAAAGUCCACUGUGUACCUAGCCACAUUCCCUCUAGUUCUCCACCUAUUCAGUGCAUCUCAUUAAGCCACCCUCACAAAUUUCCUUUUAUGCUUCUCUUUUAUAAUACUAUCUCUGCACUGCCUUUUUUUUUAAGGCCCAGAAAAACAGGUUCUUUGUGGGUAGACAGUUCCUGGUGCACACCUUUCAUUCAGCACUGUAAAGAUGCAAAGUGGCAACUGAGAUAUUAGGAUUCAAAACCUCAGCACUCUGGAUUUUUACCCUGGGCUUGGGGAAUCAAAUUUUCUUUUUAUGAAUUUGCUAGCUCUGAUUCUUCUGUGACACCACAGUAGAAAAUCCUAUCCUAAUUCUUAAUGGUAUUGUUCAGAAUCCUAUAACUUCCCCUUACCCAUCUAGUAGUUUAGAAUACCAUAACAUUAAAAUUAGUAUGAAUUUUGAGUGGAACUCCAAACUGACCUCUUAUAUCAACACUUCUAAUCAUCAGCCAGAUUUUCUCACAAUCUAAGUAAUUUCAAAAUUAUUCUCACUCCACUGCCAUAAGUUUCAGUGACACACAUCUACUUUGAUGCUGCAUGACCUUCACUUGAACUUCAUUCAGCCAGCUGUGUGGGUUUAUGCUGGGACUUGUUUCCACACCACCUACGAUAUCAUGAACUCAGAAAUUCCCCUAGGUACCCACAGACUUCAGAUUCAGCAAACAAUGAUUUGCUCCCUACCCUAUGCUAGAUGUUUCCAUACGCAGUAGUCUUCCGCUUGUCCUUCUAGGAGCCUCAGUCGAUGCCUGAAACUUCAGAUGGUACCAACCCCUAUAUGUAUAUACUAUGUUUUUUCUAUACAUACCUGUGAUACAGUUUAAUUUAUAAAUUAGACACAGAGAUUAAUAACAAUAAUAAAAUAUAGCAAUAUACCAUAAUAAAAGUUAUAUGAGUAUGGUCGCUCCCAAAAUAUCUUACUGUGUUGUACUCACCUAUUUUCAGACUGUAGUUGACUGCAGGUAACUCAGAAUGCAGAAAGCAAAACCAGCGAUGAGGGUGGACUGCCGUGUGUGAGCUCAUCCUCCUACCUGAAGAAAAGCCUCACACCUUCUGAACCCCCUGUGUUCUCACAGUUAUGAGUCCUCCUUCCCACUCACUGGUGUUUUGUCAAGCCCGGAACUCACGGGUAACCAUUUCAAAGAUGCACUUGCAAUGAUGCCUGGGCCUUCCUUGCAGGCUGGAGUGUCCCCUCAUAGCCUCCUGUUUCUUUAGGUCUGUGGAGUGUUACUGUGAGACUCCUAAAAACCAGCUGUGUGGGUCGUUUCUACUUUCUUAUCCUCUCACCAUCAGCUGAGCCCAAUUUGCUGCUAGCCGGUUGUCAAAUCACAUCACAGAGAUGCUCACCCCAUUUUGUCUACUGUAUGUCACUCUUUUGCCCAGGCUGGAAGUACAGUGGCACGAUCUUGGCUCACUGCAACCUCCACCUCCUGUGUUCAAGCAAUUCUCCUGUCUCAGCCUCCCGAGUGGCAGGGACUACAGGCACACGCCACCACACCUAGCUAAUUUUUGUAUUCUUAGUAGAGACAGGGUUUCACCAUAUUACUCAGGCUGGUCUCGAACUCCUGACCUCAGGAGGACCUCUUGAGCCCAGGAGUUCAACACCAGCGUGGGCAACAUCGUGAUACUCCAUCUCUGCAAAAUUAAAAAAUAGCCCAGCAUGGUGGUGCAUGUAUGUAUUCCCAGCUAACUCAGAAGGCUGAGGUGAAAGGAUUGCUUGAGUCUGGGAGAUUGAGGCUGCAGUGAGCUAUAAUCAUGCCACUGCACUCCAGCCUGUGCAACAGAAUGAGACCCUGUCUCAAAAAAAACAAAAACAAAAACCGAAACUGGGUACAGUGACACAUGCCUGUAAUCCUAGCACUUUGGGAGGCCCAGGUGGGAGGAUUACUUGAGGCAAAGAGUUUGAAACCAGCCUGGGCAACAUAGCAAGACUGCAUCUUUACAAAAAAACUUAAAAAAAUAAGUAGCUUCUACAUCAUAAUUUACUCUCUUGACUAGAGGGAGAAAAUAGGUGGAAAGACAUAUAGCCUGUAUUAUUCUAAUUUAAAGUUCAACAGGAAAGAGAAGAAUGAGGAACUUCUGUUUUCAUUUGAUAUGAUUUUGAAGAAGGAAGAGGUUAAUGUUUAAAAAGGACUGUUGGCCACUGACACUGGAUUUCACUAAAUCCUGAGUGUCAAAGGUAAUUGCAGUCAUGUGGCUAGUGACAUAGUUUUUUGGUGAAGCAUUAUCAAGAGGAGCAAAUUGAAUGCUCCAGCCCCAUCUGAGGAUUUCUUGGUUAUUUAUUGUGAGCCAUUAUAACUACAGAUGCUUCAUGAGAGAGUUAAUAUAAUUACUGGUCUAUAUCUUUUUACUUUAGGAGAACAGAGUUAAAGAAUGAGUCCAUUACUAUUUCAGGUGAUGUGUUUAGAAAGCAGAGCUUUAAUUCAGGACUUAAAUGGUAUUAAAUGGUGUUUCUUGAAUUCCAUUCUUCUGACACUUACUGUCAUAAUCAUUUGUAGUGAAACCUAUGUAGUCAUUCCCAGCAUCCCGGAUUUGGUUUCUUCCAAGAUUAGAUACACUUUAAUGAGUAGGUAAAUUUCCUAUUUCAGUUUCUCUUUAGUGUAUUUUAUCUUCAAACUUUACUGUGAUAUUUUAGUGUGAACAUUAAAACAAAAAAAGGAAAACCAUCCUGGGUUUUGACUGAUGGUUCAUCCUGGACCAGUCUAUGGCAUUUAGCAUUAUCUUUUCUUUUAUUGGGACCCUGAAACUUACAGUUUAUGAGACUUAGAAGUUGACUGAAGAGAAGCAGGCAUCCCUGUAUGAAGUCAUAGCAGGUAUAUCAACACAAAGCUUGGGACAGUUAGGCUCACAAAAAGUAUUGGUGUCCAAAUUCAGAAUGCUUGAUCUCUGUUAAGUUAACAUUUGAUAAAAAAAUUAAUUUCUUUAUCCUGAUGCUGAUGAAGAUCUCUUCUGAGAAUCACAGCGAUGCUUCAGGACUCAUAAUGAUGUGACAAAUCUUUGUUACUGUGGUCUCUGAUGAAAACCAAAUUUUCUUUUCUUUCUUUUUUUUUUGAGACAGUGUCUCACUCUGUUGCCCAGGUUGGAGAGCAGUCGUGUGAUCUUGGCUUACUGCAGCCUCCACUUCCCCAGGCUCAAGCGAUCCUCCCACCUCAGCCUCCCAUGUAGCUGAGAGUACAGGCAUGCGCCACCAUGCCCCGCUAAUUUUCGUGUCUUUGCAAAGAUGGAGUUUCACCAUGUUGCCCAGGCUGGUCUCAAACUCCUGAGCUGAAGCGAUUCACCCACCUCAGCCUCCCAAAGUGCUGGCAUUACAGGCGUUCACCACUGCACCCAGCCUGAAAACCAACUUUCUAACAGGCAAAUUGGGCAAGUUAGGUUUUAAUGUACUAGGAGUAGCUCUGAAAUUUUAAAUUGGAAUGUGUGUCAAAGAAUUUGUAGAAUUGAGGGAGCUUGCAGUGUGUUGUGGUGUCUUGGAGGCCAUACGGUGUAGGAGUUAAAACUUGGACCCUGGAGCCAGUCCAGAGCCCAUUUUUGCCUCCUCCUAAACAUAUGCUUCAGGCAAAGUACUUACAAUUUCUGUGCCUCACUUGCUUUAUCCAUAAAUCAGGGCUAGUAGUGACACCUAUCUCAUAGGGUUAUUAAAGAUUAGGUAGAAUAAUAUCUAAAACAUGCUUGUAACUGUGCCUAAUCAGGCACUAAUCAAGCAGCCUGUAAAUGGUAACGAAUGUUAUUAAUAUUUGGAAAGCUUUCUUAGUUCAACAGCUUUAUCUUAGUAGUUUUAAGAAACCAACAUUUCUGCUAAGAUGUCUAAAUUUUGUGUUUUUUUAAAUGUCUUCUCUUAAAUUUAAAAAGAAAAGAAUUCUUUAAAAAAUAAAAUUUGUUUUUUCUUUUUUUUUUUUUUUUUGAGAAUCUUCUCCUGGAAGGAUGUCUAAAUUUUGGAAGACUUGAAACAAGUUAAAAGAAAUUUGUUUCUGGUCUAUGAGAAAAUUGAAAUCAGUAAUUCUGACUUUAGGCAGGUUACUACCCCCCUUCCCGUCCUUCUCUCUUGUUUUCUGGAUCUUCUGCUUGGCCUCCAGGAGUCCAGAGAGGGAACUGUGGGAUGUGAAGACUCAUUAAAUUCACAUGAGGUAUCCUUUAAGCCCUCCAUUGAGAUUGACCCCCGCUUAAGUACAUUUCAGCUCAAAACGCUGCCUUCCCCCACUUUUCUGGGGAGCAGGGAUUACUUUUCUUAUAGCCCCUGUUAAAAGAAAACUCCAGAAAAGUUAAAUUCAGUGGAGUUUAAUUGAGCAAAAAAACAGAAACGAUUCACGAAUCAGGCAGCGUCCAGAAUCACAGCAGAUUUGGAGACUCCGGGGUGCCUCGUGGUCAGAACAAGUUUAUGGACAAAAGGGGUAAAGUGAUUUACAGGAAUUGGAAGUGAGGUUCAGAAACAGUGCGAUUGGUUACAGCUUGGUGUUUGCCUUAUUUGAAUGCAGUUUGAACACUCAGCAGUCUAUGAGUGAUUGAAGUAUGGCCGCUGGGAUUGGCCAACACUCAGCUAUUGUUACAGGUGCAUAUUACUAGUUAGGUUUUCAAUUUUGUCUGCCUAUUAAGCUAGGUUACGGUUUGUCCACAAGGACUCAAAUAUAGAACGAAGUCUUCAGGCCAUAUUUAGUUUGCUUUAACACCCGCCUCAAGCUUCAUUCCUUUUUGGAGGUGAAAGGAAUUUAUCCAGUGUUCUUGCACGUCAGUGAAGGAAACCUUUCCAGUGAAAAGGAGUCUGUUGACCUGCCUAGGCUGGACCAGUUCCAGUAUCAACCUGGGCCAACUCCCAGUACUGAGGCUGGAAGAGCAGAUGCCCCCUGAUAAAUAAUCUUUUAUUGUUUCCAGAAAUUUCCCAAAGCUUAUAAACCUUAAAAUAUCCUGAAUUAUCUAAAACUGUGGAUUGUGUCCUCUAAAAACUCCUACCAAUGCCCUUCCCUCCCCACAUUUCUCUUCCCUUCCCUACAGGUGACUUUCAAGUGUGGUUUGUGUAAAGUAUUAUUAGUUCCAGCUAUUUAGUGACCUCUUCGUUCUCAGUGAAACCUAAUACCAUCCACAGUAAUGAUUAUGCAUGUCUUUAGGUAGGGAUUAACUUGUUACAAGUUUUCUUUGAUUACCACAGUCAUCUUAUGUAUAUUCAAUUCUCCCUAUUUGAUAUUGUUAUAUUAUACAGUAUAUCAGUGGCAAGAUGUGUUGAAUUGAGAUGAGGCUGUUAAGAAAAGGUUUUCUAGGAAAACAUAAAUUGGCAUUUACUCAAGAAUUUUCUUUAACAUUACAUUCAAUUAAAAACACAGAUUUUUUUGUUGUUGAUUUGACAAACAACAAAGAAAUUUCUCAAGGCUUAAAUACAUUAUUAAAUCUUCUUUACCAAUCACUUUGGUUUUGUUACAUCAGCAUGUUUAUAAAGGUUUUCUGAAGGAAAAGAUUAUAUCAACAUACACUUCACAGGCAAUGUCUAAUGGUUGUUUUUCCCACAGUGGAAAAGAUACUGUGGUUACAUGAACUACAUUUAAAAUUCCUUAUUUUUGCUACUUGCCAGUAAUAAGUCCUAUAUAUAAAUUAUUAGAUUUUUAUUUUUUUCAAACUUUUAAGUUCAGGGGUACAUGUGCAGAUUUGCUAUAGAGGUAAACUUGUGUCACGGGUGUUGUACAGAUUAUUUCAUCACCCAGGUAUUAAGUCUGGUACUCAUAUGUUUCUGGAUCCUCUUGUCCUCCGGUAGGCCCCAGUGUCUGCUGUUCCUUUCGAUGUGUCCCUGUGUUCUCAUCAUUUUUCUUUUACUUCUGACUUUUUAUAACUUGAAAAUAAUCUCAGAUGCCUAGCGAUUGUCUAGCUAUAGCAAAUAUUUUUAUUGGAACUUAUUAUCCUUGACAACCACUUUUAUAAUAGCAUUGUGAGGCAAACAGUACUUUUACAUCAGACACACAAAAAUGGGGACACUAAAAUUAGGACAUUAUGGCUAAUGUUCAUCUCUCUCUCCCUUCCUCUCCCUAUCUCCCUCCCGAGGGGGAGAAUAUGUACCCUU